UGAUCAACCUGUCUGUGCCAG
Molecule: unclassified non-coding RNA, 21 nt
Filed under: Mus musculus (house mouse)
Lineage: Eukaryota; Metazoa; Chordata; Mammalia; Rodentia; Muridae
Description: oocyte_clustered_small_RNA8889
Source: RNAcentral